Molecule: ribosomal RNA, 353 nt
Filed under: uncultured bacterium
Lineage: Bacteria
Description: bacterial SSU rRNA
Rfam family: Bacterial small subunit ribosomal RNA
Source: RNAcentral
AACGAACGCUGGCGGCAGGCCUAACACAUGCAAGUCGAACGCUCUAGCAAUAGAGAGUGGCAGACGGGUGAGUAACGCGUGGGAACCUUCCCUGUGGUGCGGAAUAACUCGCCGAAAGGCGUGCUAAUACCGCAUAAGCCCGCAAGGGGAAAGAUUUAUCGCCAUAGGAUGGGCCCGCGUAGGAUUAGCUAGUUGGUGAGGUAAUGGCUCACCAAGGCGACGANCCUUAGCUGGUUUGAGAGAAUGACCAGCCACACUGGGACUGAGACACGGCCCAGACUCCUACGGGAGGCAGCAGUGGGGAAUCUUGGACAAUGGGCGCAAGCCUGAUCCAGCCAUGCCGCGUGAGUGAA